This 132-nucleotide small nucleolar RNA is filed under the name Mus musculus (house mouse). Its description in RNAcentral is "Small nucleolar RNA SNORA48". It matches the Rfam family "Small nucleolar RNA SNORA48". Rfam says of the family: The snoRNA ACA 48 has been identified to guide pseudouridylation of the residue U3797 in the 28S rRNA subunit. Its host gene EIF4A1 (eukaryotic translation initiation factor 4A1) is shared with U67 and snoRNA mgU6-77 Lineage: Eukaryota; Metazoa; Chordata; Mammalia; Rodentia; Muridae. The record is from Rfam by way of RNAcentral.
GCCCCCUGGCCAUGGAUAAAGAGACACCUUGCUGGUGGUGUUGUUAUAUCAGUCAGGGAUUGUACAGUUGUGUUCGUUCUAGCUUGAUGCCUGGCUUGGUGGCCAAAGCUGUUUUAUACCUAGGAUACAUAA